This 330-nucleotide unclassified non-coding RNA is filed under the name soil metagenome. RNAcentral's name for it is "partial contains 5.8S ribosomal RNA, internal transcribed spacer 2, and large subunit ribosomal RNA". The stretch from base 2 to 121 matches the Rfam family "5.8S ribosomal RNA", at positions 35 to 154 of the family's 154-position model. The record is from RNAcentral.
GGAUGAAGAACGCAGCGAAAUGCGAUAAGUAAUGUGAAUUGCAGAAUUCAGUGAAUCAUCGAAUCUUUGAACGCACAUUGCGCCCCUUGGUAUUCCGAGGGGCAUGCCUGUUCGAGCGUCAUUAUAACCCCUCAAGCUCAGCUUGGUAUUGGGGCCUGCCAUCCUGGCAGCCCUUAAAAUCAGUGGCGGUGCCAUCCGGCUCUAAGCGUAGUAACUCCUCUCGCUAUGGAGUCCUGGUGGAUGCUUUGCCAUUAAUCUUUUAACUUCUAUGGUUGACCUCGGAUCAGGUAGGGAUACCCGCUGAACUUAAGCAUAUCAAUAAGCGGAGGA